Molecule: long non-coding RNA, 320 nt
Filed under: Glycine max (soybean)
Lineage: Eukaryota; Viridiplantae; Streptophyta; Magnoliopsida; Fabales; Fabaceae
Description: long non-coding RNA (GMAX_LNC004566)
Source: RNAcentral
GAUGGGCGUGGUCAUACCCGUGCCUAUCUUUACUUCCCUUUUUCCACUGCCAGUUCCCAAGUCUAUUAGUUCUGUCUCUUCUUGAUGAGGCCCCAUUUCUUGGUCCUCUUGGGCGACUAUCCUUUCCAACUCUGGGGUAAGUCCCACAUCCUCGUUCUCUUCAUCUUUUAUCUGAUUCGUUUCUUGCUCGAAGUCGAUGGGCGGGUCCCAGGUAUUAGUACCUUCGAGGGACUCGUCGUCGGAUCUAGCGUUUUAAACAUAAAGAAGUAAACAUGCAAAUGGAUGAGAAUGGGUAGAGACGCAGGAAUAGAUAAAGAAAG